Molecule: transfer RNA, 72 nt
Filed under: Camelus bactrianus (Bactrian camel)
Lineage: Eukaryota; Metazoa; Chordata; Mammalia; Artiodactyla; Camelidae
Also listed under: 3 other names
Rfam family: tRNA
About the family: Transfer RNA (tRNA) molecules are approximately 80 nucleotides in length. Their secondary structure includes four short double-helical elements and three loops (D, anti-codon, and T loops).
Source: Rfam by way of RNAcentral
UGGGGUAUAGCUCAGUGAUAGAGUGCAUGCUUGGCAUGCAGGAGGUCCUGGGUUCAAUCCCCAGUGCCUCUG